GACAGAGGGUGCAAACGUUGUUCGGAAUUACUGGGCGUAAAGCGCGUGUAGGCAGUUUCGCAAGUCGGGUGUGAAAGCCCUGGGCUCAACCUAGGAAGUGCACUCGAAACUGCGAGACUUGAGUCCUGGAGAGGAAGGCGGAAUUCUCGGUGUAGAGGUGAAAUUCGUAGAUAUCGAGAGGAACACCGGUGGCGAAGGCAGCCUUCUGGACAGUGACUGACGCUGAGACGCGAAAGCGUGGGGAGCAAACAGG
Molecule: ribosomal RNA, 253 nt
Filed under: uncultured bacterium
Lineage: Bacteria
Description: partial 16S ribosomal RNA
Rfam family: Bacterial small subunit ribosomal RNA
Source: RNAcentral